RNAcentral lists this unclassified non-coding RNA (308 nucleotides) under Hevea brasiliensis (rubber tree). The record is from RNAcentral. Lineage: Eukaryota; Viridiplantae; Streptophyta; Magnoliopsida; Malpighiales; Euphorbiaceae.
GCCGCCACCACCACCACCAUCACCGCCAUCGUACCGCCUAAUUCUGCCGGAAAUCGGGUAAUAAAGUUCAAGAAGGUUAAACAUGGGAAGUUUUAGGUCAUGAAUAUGUAAACCUUCAACAACAUCAUUUUUGAAAAAAUAAAGAGCUUUAAUGUAAUGAAGCUUCAUUAUUAAGUCCAUGUUGGUAAAUUCAUGCUGGAGUUUGUCGUCGCCGGUGAUCCUCCCCGGCACGACGGACGAUAAUUUCACGUCGGAGAUUAAUUUCUCGACGUGAUCCAUGGAAUGAAAGAGAAGUAUUUGAAAGGAAA